This is a long non-coding RNA of Astyanax mexicanus (Mexican tetra), 766 nucleotides long. RefSeq lists it as uncharacterized. The transcript is spliced from 4 exons. NCBI's taxonomy places the organism in Eukaryota, Metazoa, Chordata, Actinopteri, Characiformes, Acestrorhamphidae. The record is from RefSeq and is a predicted model, not a curated record.
AGAAUCACGGUCAGCUGACAGAAAUCCCGCCUUCUGCGCUACAAUUGGCUAGUGCGAGUUUGCCUUUGCUCUGUGAUUGGCUGGAAGGAUCUUGUCCCCAUUUACUUUGAAGGGUCAUGAGGGAGCCUACUUUUGCUUGGUCUGCGAGCAGGAGGUGUUUUAAAAGACCUUGCCAAGUUUGUGGUGUGGUUUGUUGCUUACAAACUGAAAAAACAUAAAACGAAUGUUUUUCUGCUGCUUGAGCUGAAAAUACAGCGUGGGAGUUUUAUUUUUUAGAGACUUUUUGACUGAGGAGGUCUGGUUUAAAAAGUCUACGAAGAUUCCUUAUGUUAAAAGGUUUUAACUGAAUCACAAAUUCCUUCAUUAUCGAGAACAUCUCCAUGUUUUUGAUUGGUGACAGCUGCUGGAAUGGGAGCCAGCGAGCUGUAUGUUCCCACUAAGUAAAAAGAAACCUGGACUGAGCACUCAAAAUAUCACACACACCAGAGUCUGAUCCAAGCUGGUCAGUGUUUCUCCCUCAUCCUCAAGAGACAUUUGAGAUUGGUUUCUGACUGAAAAGGAAAAAUAUAAAGAUCUGACCUUGACCAGUAUAAUGUCUCGGCACUGUAAAGAGGAUUUACCAGAAGGCCUUAUUCCACCAAUUGAAAUGGACGAGGAAGAGUGUGGCAUCAUUUGGAGGAGAGUGUCUAACCAAUGUCUGGUUAAGCCUUCGAACAAACAAGUUAAAUCAGCAAAAGUCAAAUCUACUAAAUCAGAUGCAAGCAAG